UCUGUCGGGGGCGGGGGGAAGGCGGGGGAGCUGCUGCUGAUUCCCUCUCUAUGACUCAUAGACUCGGCCAAUGUGGUGUCUUACGUGAUCUUCUUGACAAGCCCCGGCCCUCUGAAUGGCGACAGAGAGAUUACUGUUAGCUCUACCGUGGAUUCAACAGGCUUCAUUUUGUUAAACAUUCCCUGAAGGCAAUGCUCGGAAUCUGGGGACAAUUACUCAGUCUCCCCAUUGCCUCCUGCUCUUUUUUAAGACGGUGAGGGGUGUGUGGUGUGCAGAGGGAGGGGUUCACUCGGCUUUGGGGAAGAAGCAUUUAUAUCGUCCUUGAGUCCUCCCGUGUCUGGGUGCUCUGCUGGCCUCAAUUCUGACGCUCUCCACUUGGAGACAGCUCGGAUUCCACAGGGUGAGGGCUCAGCCCUACAAGACCACCCCCUCGCCCCUCACCCUCAGGCACAUCCAGGUUGUCCCCUGUUCUCCUGACCAACUGACUGUAGAUUGGCGGUUCCCGUGACCUUCUCAGGUUCUGUUAACUGGCUCCUAGAACGCAGAGAAACAUUUGAGUCAUAGAUCACCAGUGUAUCACAAAAGGACACAACUCAGGAACGUCCAGAUGGAAGGGAAGAGACGCACAAGGUGUGGAAAUCCCAAUGGUUUGAGGAGCUGGGAACCUGAAACCAGCAGGCAGACCAAAUACAUAUCUCUUAUUAUAAAUCACAAUAUUACGCCCCCUCUCUCCUCUUGUCACAGUGAGCUCCUGGCCAUCUUACUGGAUUUCAACUCAGCUGCCUUCCCUCCCACACUGGUGCCGCUGUGGAUGGGGUGCUUCUGGGUCCCACCUACGUCACUGGAAGUCAAGGAGGCCCAAGAAAGCUAAGCUGCAAGGGAGAGAGAGAGAGCGUGCACAGGGGAGAGGCAGAGAGAGAAGAGGAGAGGGAGGGUUCCCAAGCAGGCUCUGCACUGUCAGUGUGGAGCCUGAGGAAGGGGGACGGGCUCAGGAACUAAGAGUCAGAUGCUUACGCGACUGAGCCACGCAGGUGCCCCAGCAAGGGAGCGCUUGUGCCUGCCCACACUGCAUUACCAGGUCUCUGCUGCUGUGGCUGUGACCGCAGGGCAUCCUGGGAGUGCACCUUCCAGAGCCAAGCCCCUACAGGUAAGUGAGCAAAACAAUGAGGGCAAUUUCAGACAACGCUUCCCAGCCAAGGCUUCCCUCUCCUACC
Herpailurus yagouaroundi (jaguarundi) is the source of this 1214-nucleotide long non-coding RNA. RefSeq lists it as uncharacterized. The record is from RefSeq and is a predicted model, not a curated record. The transcript has 2 exons. NCBI's taxonomy places the organism in Eukaryota, Metazoa, Chordata, Mammalia, Carnivora, Felidae.